UCCGGUUUGUCACCGGCAGUCUGGCGUGAGUCCCCAACUAAAUGAUGGCAACACGCCACAGGGGUUGCGCUCGUUGCGGGACUUAACCCAACAUCUCACGACACGAGCUGACGACAACCAUGCACCACCUGUGUACCGCCCCGAAGGACACCGUAUCUCUACGGCUUUUCGGUACAUGUCAAGCCCUGGUAAGGUUCUUCGCGUUGCAUCGAAUUAAACCACAUGCUCCGCUGCUUGUGCGGGCCCCCGUCAAUUCCUUUGAGUUUCAGUCUUGCGACCGUACUCCCCAGGCGGGGCACUUAAUGCGUUAGCUACGGCGCGGAAAACGUGGAAUGUCCCCCACACCUAGUGCCCAACGUUUACGGCAUGGACUAC
RNAcentral lists this unclassified non-coding RNA (375 nucleotides) under uncultured bacterium. RNAcentral describes it as "contains 16S-23S intergenic spacer region". The record is from RNAcentral.